This 465-nucleotide ribosomal RNA is filed under the name uncultured bacterium. RNAcentral describes it as "partial 16S ribosomal RNA". It matches the Rfam family "Bacterial small subunit ribosomal RNA", at positions 28 to 507 of the family's 1533-position model. The record is from RNAcentral.
GACGAACGCUGGCGGCGUGCUUAACACAUGCAAGUCGUACGGUAAGGCCCUUUCGGGGGUACACGAGUGGCGAACGGGUGAGUAACACGUGAGUAACCUGCCCACAACUUUGGGAUAACGCUAGGAAACUGGUGCUAAUACUGGAUAUGUGCUCCUGCUGCAUGGUGGGGGUUGGAAAGCUCCGGCGGUUGUGGAUGGACUCGCGGCCUAUCAGCUUGUUGGUGGGGGAGUGGCCUACCAAUGCGGCGACGGGUAGCCGGCCUGAGAGGGUGGCCGGCCACAUUGGGACUGGGAUACGGCCCAGACGCCUACGGGAGGCAGCAGGGGGGAAUAAUGCACAAUGGGCGCAAGCCAGAUGCAGCAACGCCGCGUGCGGGAUGACGGCCUUCGGGUUGUAAACCGAUUUCAGCAGGGACGAAGCUUUUUGUGACGGUACCUGCAGAAGAAGCACCGGCUAACUACGUG